GCGGCAUGGCGGCUCUUGCGUCUGAUUCGGCACAUGUCUGUAAGGACUGCGUCUCUCUCCUGCCGCCACGAUUCGGCAUGCGUCAUAAGAUGUAACAGGGUCUCGUUAUCCAGUUCACUCGCAGACGACAUUCCAUACGACAACUGAAUCGUCUGCAAUUCCACGAAAAACAACAUGGGAGGCAAUAUUGCAUUUGUUUUUCUUGUUUUGAUGAAGAUAAUAGCGGUAUAUUGUCAAACGAAUUCCACGGACGGAAACUCGACGAACGCGAGCGGUAAUGAGAUUAGUGACGAGGGUCGCGCCACGACGAUUGUUCUUCCAGGAAUCCUUGUCCUAACAGCCGUACUCGUUAGCCGAUUGCUGAACUAAUGUAUGCUUCCAUUGCUUUCAAGAUGUCUCCCAUUCUGGCGUGCUCACCGUCUGUUUUAUGUGGACUCCGCCUUCAGCCACCAUCUGAAUGAACUCAUGUUGUCACUGCUCAUACCCAGCUCGUGUAGAUAUUUCUGUUGUCAUUCGUGUUUCAUUGGUGUGUCUGCUGCUUCGUUCACUGGUUGCUAGGAUCUCUGUAAGGCAAGGGGAGUGGGGGUAUUUUGCCUCAGAUCACGUCAGGCCUGUAGGAACCGGGGGCGGGAGCUAUGCCUCCCACCCUACUAGAGGCCCAAAUGUACGUUUGCUCUGUCCUACUCUAAAUAAAUAAAGAUAAAAAUAUGGCUUGUUUCCCCAACUCUAGAUAUCGUUCCUACAGGCUUGCAUGUAUAAUGUGAGAAAGACUGUCAGUGUCAUUGUUUACAAUAAGAAGCUUUUUAUGGAGUUAAAUAUAAACUACGUAAUAAACAAGCGUACAUUAUGUA
Molecule: long non-coding RNA, 851 nt
Organism: Gigantopelta aegis
Lineage: Eukaryota; Metazoa; Mollusca; Gastropoda; Neomphalida; Peltospiridae
Exons: 3
Source: RefSeq, a predicted model, not a curated record